Salmo salar (Atlantic salmon) is the source of this 73-nucleotide non-coding RNA. NCBI's taxonomy places the organism in Eukaryota, Metazoa, Chordata, Actinopteri, Salmoniformes, Salmonidae. The record is from Rfam.
GGGACAGUGGCACAAUGGAAAAUGUGUCUGACGACGGAUUAGAAGAUUCUAGGUUCGACUCCUGGCUGUCUCG